CGCACCUUGCGCUCCUUGGUAUUCCGAGGAGCAUGCCUGUUUGAGUGUCAUUAAAUUCUCAACCUUACUAGCUUUCACAAGCUUGGUAAUGGCUUGGAUAUGGGGGUAUUUUGCUGGUUGUUUCACAAUGAACAGCUCCCCUUAAAGAAAUUAGCUGGUACCCUGCGCGGACUGUCUAUUGGUGUGAUAAUUAUCUACGCCGUUGACUGCUGCCUUAAAUGGGUGUACUGCUUAUAAUCGUCCUUUGGACAAUACAUGACUAUUUGACCUCAAAUCAGGUAGGACUACCCGCUGAACUUAA
RNAcentral lists this unclassified non-coding RNA (301 nucleotides) under Galerina nana. RNAcentral's name for it is "partial contains 5.8S ribosomal RNA, internal transcribed spacer 2, and large subunit ribosomal RNA". The record is from RNAcentral. Lineage: Eukaryota; Fungi; Basidiomycota; Agaricomycetes; Agaricales; Galerinaceae.